CCUACGGGAGGCAGCAGUGGGGAAUAUUGGACAAUGGGGGGAACCCUGAUCCAGCCAUGCCGCGUGUGUGAAGAAGGCCCUCGGGUUGUAAAGCACUUUCAGUGAGGAAGAACGCCUGGUGGUUAAUACCCAUCAGGAAAGACAUCACUCACAGAAGAAGCACCGGCUAACUCCGUGCCAGCAGCCGCGGUAAUACGGAGGGUGCGAGCGUUAAUCGGAAUUACUGGGCGUAAAGCGCGCGUAGGUGGCUUGAUAAGCCGGUUGUGAAAGCCCCGGGCUCAACCUGGGAACGGCAUCCGGACCUGUCAAGCUAGAGUGCAGGAGAGGAAGGUAGAAUUCCCGGUGUAGCGGUGAAAUGCGUAGAGAUCGGGAGGAAUACCAGUGGCGAAGGCGGCCUUCUGGACUGACACUGACACUGAGGUGCGAAAGCGUGGGUAGCAAACAGGAUUAGAUACCCCUGUAGUC
RNAcentral lists this ribosomal RNA (465 nucleotides) under Vreelandella stevensii. RNAcentral's name for it is "partial 16S ribosomal RNA". It matches the Rfam family "Bacterial small subunit ribosomal RNA", at positions 338 to 795 of the family's 1533-position model. Lineage: Bacteria; Pseudomonadati; Pseudomonadota; Gammaproteobacteria; Oceanospirillales; Halomonadaceae. The record is from RNAcentral.